AACGAACGCUGGCGGCAUGCCUAACACAUGCAAGUCGAACGAGAACUUCGGGUCUAGUGGCGCACGGGUGCGUAAGGCGUGGGAACCUGCCCUUAGGUUCGGAAUAACUCCCCGAAAGGGGUGCUAAUACCGGAUAAUGUUUUCGGACCAAAGAUUUAUCGCGUUUGGAUGGGCCCGCGUUGGAUUAGCUAGUUGGUAGGGUAAAAGCCUAGCAAGGCGACGAUCCAUAGCUGGUCUGAGAGGAUGAUCAGCCACACUGGGACUGAGACACGGCCCAGACUCCUACGGGAGGCAGCAGUGGGGAAUAUUGGACAAUGGGCGAAAGCCUGAUCCAGCAAUGCCGCGUGAGUGAUGAAGGCCUUAGGGUUGUAAAGCUCUUUUACCCGGGAUGAUAAUGACAGUACCGGGAGAAUAAGCGCCGGCUAACUCCGUG
RNAcentral lists this ribosomal RNA (433 nucleotides) under uncultured bacterium. Its description in RNAcentral is "partial 16S ribosomal RNA". It matches the Rfam family "Bacterial small subunit ribosomal RNA", at positions 29 to 507 of the family's 1533-position model. The record is from RNAcentral.